AGUGAACGCUGGCGGUAGGCCUAACACAUGCAAGUCGAACGGCAGCACAGUAAGAGCUUGCUCUUACGGGUGGCGAGUGGCGGACGGGUGAGGAAUACAUCGGAAUCUACUUUUUCGUGGGGGAUAACGUAGGGAAACUUACGCUAAUACCGCAUACGACCUACGGGUGAAAGCAGGGGAUCUUCGGACCUUGCGCGAUUGAAUGAGCCGAUGUCGGAUUAGCUAGUUGGCGGGGUAAAGGCUCACCAAGGCGACGAUCCGUAGCUGGUCUGAGAGGAUGAUCAGCCACACUGGAACUGAGACACGGUCCAGACUCCUACGGGAGGCAGCAGUGGGGAAUAUUGGACAAUGGGCGCAAGCCUGAUCCAGCCAUACCGCGUGGGUGAAGAAAGCCUUCGGGUUGUAAAGCCCUUUUGUUGGGAAAGAAAAGCAGCAGGUUAAUACCCCGCUGUUCUGACGGUACCCAAAGAAUAAGCACCGGCUAACUUCGUG
Molecule: ribosomal RNA, 492 nt
Filed under: uncultured bacterium
Lineage: Bacteria
Description: partial 16S ribosomal RNA
Rfam family: Bacterial small subunit ribosomal RNA
Source: RNAcentral